Molecule: non-coding RNA, 22 nt
Filed under: Arabidopsis thaliana (thale cress)
Lineage: Eukaryota; Viridiplantae; Streptophyta; Magnoliopsida; Brassicales; Brassicaceae
Source: RNAcentral
CGGCUUCGGGCCGAGUGCUGCA